UUUAUGGAGAGUUUGAUCCUGGCUCAGGAUGAACGCUGGCGGCGUGCCUAAUACAUGCAAGUCGAGCGAACGGACGAGAAGCUUGCUUCUCUGAUGUUAGCGGCGGACGGGUGAGUAACACGUGGAUAACCUACCUAUAAGACUGGGAUAACUUCGGGAAACCGGAGCUAAUACCGGAUAAUAUUUUGAACCGCAUGGUUCAAAAGUGAAAGACGGUCUUGCUGUCACUUAUAGAUGGAUCCGCGCUGCAUUAGCUAGUUGGUAAGGUAACGGCUUACCAAGGCAACGAUGCAUAGCCGACCUGAGAGGGUGAUCGGCCACACUGGAACUGAGACACGGUCCAGACUCCUACGGGAGGCAGCAGUAGGGAAUCUUCCGCAAUGGGCGAAAGCCUGACGGAGCAACGCCGCGUGAGUGAUGAAGGUCUUCGGAUCGUAAAACUCUGUUAUUAGGGAAGAACAUAUGUGUAAGUAACUGUGCACAUCUUGACGGUACCUAAUCAGAAAGCCACGGCUAACUACGUGCCAGCAGCCGCGGUAAUACGUAGGUGGCAAGCGUUAUCCGGAAUUAUUGGGCGUAAAGCGCGCGUAGGCGGUUUUUUAAGUCUGAUGUGAAAGCCCACGGCUCAACCGUGGAGGGUCAUUGGAAACUGGAAAACUUGAGUGCAGAAGAGGAAAGUGGAAUUCCAUGUGUAGCGGUGAAAUGCGCAGAGAUAUGGAGGAACACCAGUGGCGAAGGCGACUUUCUGGUCUGUAACUGACGCUGAUGUGCGAAAGCGUGGGGAUCAAACAGGAUUAGAUACCCUGGUAGUCCACGCCGUAAACGAUGAGUGCUAAGUGUUAGGGGGUUUCCGCCCCUUAGUGCUGCAGCUAACGCAUUAAGCACUCCGCCUGGGGAGUACGACCGCAAGGUUGAAACUCAAAGGAAUUGACGGGGACCCGCACAAGCGGUGGAGCAUGUGGUUUAAUUCGAAGCAACGCGAAGAACCUUACCAAAUCUUGACAUCCUUUGACAACUCUAGAGAUAGAGCCUUCCCCUUCGGGGGACAAAGUGACAGGUGGUGCAUGGUUGUCGUCAGCUCGUGUCGUGAGAUGUUGGGUUAAGUCCCGCAACGAGCGCAACCCUUAAGCUUAGUUGCCAUCAUUAAGUUGGGCACUCUAAGUUGACUGCCGGU
This 1174-nucleotide ribosomal RNA is filed under the name Staphylococcus aureus. Its description in RNAcentral is "bacterial SSU rRNA". It matches the Rfam family "Bacterial small subunit ribosomal RNA", at positions 1 to 1156 of the family's 1533-position model. The record is from RNAcentral. Lineage: Bacteria; Bacillati; Bacillota; Bacilli; Caryophanales; Staphylococcaceae.